UACAGAGGGUGCAAGCGUUGUUCGGAAUUACUGGGCGUAAAGCGCGCGUAGGUGGCUAAGCAAGUCCUGUGUGAAAGCCUCAGGCUUAACCUGAGAGGGUCAUGGGAAACUACUUAGCUCGAGGAUGGGAGAGGAGAGUGGAAUUCCCGGUGUAGAGGUGAAAUUCGUAGAUAUCGGGAGGAACACCAGAGGCGAAGGCGGCUCUCUGGCCCAUUUCUGACACUCUGGCGCGAAAGCGUGGGUAGCAAACAGGAUUAGAUACCCUGGUAGUCCACGCCGUAAACGAUGUGCACUAGUUGUUGGAGGAUAUUGACCCCUUCAGUGACGCAGCUAACGCAAUAAGUGCACCGCCUGGGGAGUACGGUCGCAAGAUUAAA
RNAcentral lists this ribosomal RNA (377 nucleotides) under uncultured bacterium. RNAcentral's name for it is "bacterial SSU rRNA". It matches the Rfam family "Bacterial small subunit ribosomal RNA", at positions 524 to 898 of the family's 1533-position model. The record is from RNAcentral.